Long non-coding RNA from Ailuropoda melanoleuca (giant panda), 510 nucleotides. RefSeq lists it as uncharacterized. The record is from RefSeq and is a predicted model, not a curated record. NCBI's taxonomy places the organism in Eukaryota, Metazoa, Chordata, Mammalia, Carnivora, Ursidae. The transcript is spliced from 3 exons.
AUCACUGGAGCACAAGGGGACAGAGUGAGCUCUCCCGAGUGCCAAGGGAAGCCAGCGAGGGAUUACAAGGGUGAUCCCUAAAGGUGUAAAAGGAGCCGUAGCAAACCAGGAGUUGGUGAGGCCCAGGCAACCAGUAUUUUAUCAGGCCCUGCACAUGACGCUGGGGCACACUCAAGUUUGAGAACCACCGGUCUGCCGCCCAGCAAGGGAGUGGAGGCACAGAGAUGGAAGGUUCCAGAAGACAGGAACUGUGUCCAUCCCCAGACAGAAACCGUGCCUCCUUUUCUGCACAUCCAAGGCAAUGCCGUCCCCACCCACGAUAAAAGCAGCCUUUUGCCUAGAGCCACCUAACUCGGCACCCCAUUCCCCGUGCCCCACUGCCCCACAACUCAGCCAUUCCAGCUAACAGAAAACAGCCAGUCUAGCGGCCUCCACGCUUCGGGCCUUCCCGCCCAGGCCAACUGGGCAAGGCAGGACCCCACUGCCGUGCCCAGCACAGGGACCCCGAGG